AACGCGAAGAACCUUACCUGGGUUGGAACCCCCCGGAACCUUCCAGAGAUGGAGGGGUGCCCGCAAGGGAAUCGGGUGUCCAGGUGCUGCAUGGCUGUCGUCAGCUCGUGUCGUGAGAUGUUGGGUUAAGUCCCGCAACGAGCGCAACCCUUGUCGUUAGUUGCCAGCGGUUCGGCCGGGCACUCUAACGAGACUGCCGGUGUUAAACCGGAGGAAGGUGGGGAUGACGUCAAGUCCUCAUGGCCCUUAUGCCCAGGGCUACACACGUGCUACAAUGACCGGUACAAAGGGUUGCUAACCCGUGAGGGUACGCUAAUCCCAAAAAACCGGCCUCAGUUCAGAUUGAAGUCUGCAACUCGACUUCAUGAAGUUGGAAUCGCUAGUAAUCCCUGAUCAGCAGGCAGGGGUGAAUACGUUCCCGGGCCUUGUACACACCGUAGAGAC
Molecule: ribosomal RNA, 444 nt
Filed under: uncultured bacterium
Lineage: Bacteria
Description: bacterial SSU rRNA
Rfam family: Bacterial small subunit ribosomal RNA
Source: RNAcentral